This 465-nucleotide ribosomal RNA is filed under the name uncultured bacterium. RNAcentral describes it as "partial 16S ribosomal RNA". It matches the Rfam family "Bacterial small subunit ribosomal RNA", at positions 338 to 795 of the family's 1533-position model. The record is from RNAcentral.
CCUACGGGGGGCAGCAGUAGGGAAUCUUCCACAAUGGGCGAAAGCCUGAUGGAGCAACGCCGCGUGGGUGAAGAAGGUCUUCGGAUCGUAAAACCCUGUUGUUAGAGAAGAAAGUGCGUGAGAGUAACUGUUCACGUUUCGACGGUAUCUGACCAGAAAGCCACGGCUAACUACGUGCCAGCAGCCGCGGUAAUACGUAGGUGGCAAGCGUUAUCCGGAUUUAUUGGGCGUAAAGGGAACGCAGGCGGUCUGUUAAGUCUGAUGUGAAAGCCCUGGGCUUAACCGGAGAAGUGCAUGGGAUACUGGGAGACUUGAGUGCAGUAGAGGAGAGUGGAACUCCAGGUGUAGCGGUGAAAUGCGUAGAUAUAUGGAAGAACACCAGUGGCGAAGGCGGCCCUCUGGUCGGUGACUGACGCUGAGGUUCGAAAGCGUGGGUAGCAAACAGGAUUAGAUACCCUAGUAGUC